This is a long non-coding RNA of Cercocebus atys (sooty mangabey), 155 nucleotides long. RefSeq lists it as uncharacterized. Lineage: Eukaryota; Metazoa; Chordata; Mammalia; Primates; Cercopithecidae. The record is from RefSeq and is a predicted model, not a curated record. The transcript is spliced from 3 exons.
CCAGGCUGGAGUGCAAUGGAGCAAGACACUGUCUCAAAUACAAUACAAUACAAUACAAUACCAAACCAAACCAAUACUAUCACUUCAUUCUCCUACUUAAAACCUUCUCAUGGUUCUUUUUUUUUUUUUUUUUGAGUCGGAGUCUCGCUCUGUCG